UCUUUUGCUACCAUGAGGACUGCCCCACGCAGAAGUGCUUCUGAGAUAACAGCCUCAAGAGCAGCAGGUUUUGGACAAGGGUCAUGAUUAUCUUUUAUCUGACAGCACCAAGCAGAGUACAGAACACACAGUAGGCUCCGUAAGUACUUGCUCAAUUGAAUCCAUUUCAUUUUCUUAGUUGUUCUGCUCUAUGUUACUGGAAAAGUAAGACCUUUAUUUGCUGAUGAAGACAACAUGGCAAUAAAAGAGCGAAGAGAUGUGAUAUUUUUCCUCCAGAGGCCAAUUUUCUUACUUCUGGAUGCAGGGACUUUGUCAUCAAGAAUAUGUCAAGACUUUCCACGGCCUUAUUUUAUACUACUUUGGGCCUCUCAUCAGCACUCACAAACUCCAAAUAUGUACAACCCAUAUAUUUUCGAAAUACUUUCCAAUGUAUGCUUCCUUAUGCCUCAUACCCCUUCUCCAUUUUAGCUUCAUUGAAAUAAAGAAGACAGGGACCAUUUUUGAGAAAAAGGAGAAGAUGGCAAGGAAAAACUCUCUCUUUCCCCUAGGAGCUCUGAAGAAGAAAGGGCUUGGAGAGAGGAAGGUAGGUAGUCCUACGUGCAUGUGUCAGACUCUGAAUAGAGAGCCACAGAGCCUCGCGGGAGGCUCGGGUAGCCCACAGGCUGUGUGGUAGAUGGCCUGGCACAGGAGCCCUUUGGAGGACUUAAGAGGGACUCAGAGUGAUCUGCAGAAGCAGGGAGAGUCGAGAGGAGGCCAGUCAACAGGGAGAGGCCCCUGGACAGGAUCAAGCUAUGAAACAUACCACAAAUUCAUCAGCUGCAGAACGCCCCAAGGAAGCAGCCAGCUAAACUAGAUCUUAAUGGACACCAGUCAGCAUUCACUCAAGGAGAAUCAUGGGGAGACGCCUUCUUCUAGAAGCUAUGAAGACCUUUCUCCUUUUCUCUGACACCAUCUUCAGAGAAGACAGAGGUGUAGGGAGGAAUCUGAAUAAUAACUAAAAGAGAUAAUUUACCCCGCAGGACUAAGUUUUGAACCAGCCUACAAAUACAACACCUGUACUUUUUCGGCACAGCUCAGUGUAGUAUGAGUAGUCCUGUGACUCUGAUAUAUAUGAAGUCAUUCAAUAGCUAAAGCUAAGAAGACAAGAAAGUAUGGGGUGUAUAUGAUGUGGUUGUAGGAAGUGAAUGACUUUCAGACAAUGUUCAAAUUCUCUGAAGAAUUUGUAGUCACAAAAUUCACUUUAAUGCAACAGCAUUGACCUUGAGCAAAAUUCUUCCUAAACAUCUAGCUCAAAACAGCAUUCACUGAGCACUUGUGCUAGCUACUGCAGACACUCUAUUAAAUAAAACUCGCUUGCAAGGCACUUACACAUCAGCACCAUCUUCCCUUCCAAUGCCAGAGUCUACCUAUGGAAAUCUGCUUUCAAGAAGCUUCCAGUGUUUGUCAUGUAUACCUUAGUGUAAAUUAAGUGAAUGUGUUAUCUCACCAUAAUUUGUGAUUUGUUUGUUUGUUGUAGUGGUUGUUGUUUACUGUCAUUUCCGACUAUAAAAGUAAAGCUUUGAUCUCUGCUGGAGUGACUUUCAGGCAUUAGUAAACACCUAGGGAGCUUUAUACGUUUUCAUAUGAAGAGGUCUUCCUCCUUGAAAUCCAUUCAACAAAUAUUGAGUAAGUACUGGCUCUGUUCCAGACCCAGAAUUAAAUGCUGGAAAGACACAGUUUCUUUUCUAACAUCUCCACUUAUAAGUCCCAUAAGCAUCUCAAAUUGAAUAUAUCUUAAGAAGAGUAUGUGAUUCCCACCCACCCGAACCUGAUCGUCCACAGUUUUUUCUGUCACAGUAAAUAGUAGAACCAUGUACGCAAUGUGCUCAAAUUAGAAACCCUGGCAUAAUCCAAUUGCUCCUGUUUCCUGACGCUGUCCCUGAGAAACACACUCUAACGCAUGGACACGGACACACAUCCACACAUGUGCCGUAAAAUUAACUUAACAGGAGGCCAUUAGAUGAGGUGGUUCUAACGCUGUGGCAGCCAACAUAAGCAACCCAAAGCCUAAGCCUAUAGAUGCCCCAAGGUUAUGAAAUGGAAACCUAAGGACAACCAGUCACAAACAGCCGACCGGGCUUUAAGCUAUAGCGAAUCAAUGAUCUCCUUGCUUUGCUUCCACCUUCCAUAAAAAGCCUCUCCAAGAAAUCCUGUCAGUGGAGCGCUCCUAAACACUUCCAGUUUGGCGCUGCCUGAUUGAAAUCGAUUUUGGCUCAGACUCUUAAAACUUGUAAUAUGCCUCAGUUUACCUUUUAACUGUACACACACAUACGUGUCCAUGGAAUCAUUCUCUUGGUCCUGCCUCCAAAUCAGAUCUUGAAUCUGCAGGGGAAGAAAAAUAAUUUUACCUCUACCCUUAUGACUUCUUGCUGAAAUGCCCUGUAAAGAAAGAUUAACAACAGGGGACCAGCCACGUGGCCCAGUGAUUAAAAUUCAAUGCACUUCCACCAAACUCAUAUCAUUUAGAUGGCCUGAGUUCACUGGUUCAGAUCCUAGGUGUGGACCUACCCCACUUGUCAGCGAUGCUGUGGAAGAGUCCCACAUAUAAAGAAGAGGAAGAUUGGCACAGAGGUUAGCUCAGGGCUAAUCUUCUUCAAGUAAAAAAAGAGGCAGAUUAGCAAUGGAUGUUAGCUCAGGGUGAAUCUUCCUCACCAAAAAAAAAUUACCAACAGACAAAGUUUAUUAUAAUAUUAUAUAUGAUAUAUAUUAUAGUAUAUAUAAUAAAUAUUAUAAUAAACAAGUUUAACAUGUAUAGAAGGGAGAUAUCAAGGAAAAAUGAGUAAACUCCCCAAGAUGACCCAAGCCACCACCUUAAAUACCAUCUUCAGCUAAAGACAAAAGAAAGAAAGAUGUUGAGGUUGGGGGGGUGGUGGCAAAGACACGGGAGGUUACCAGGAAAAGCACAGUAAACAAGGGUAUGGUUGUCAUGCAAGUUUAAGCAGUCACCUUCUCCAUUCAUAAGAGUUUCUUGUGAUUGAGAGUCAUCCUUCUCUUCCUGGUACAGAGAGGGAGACAGCCUUGUGAAUGGAGAUUUCCUGUGUUGACGUAAAUUGCCCUUAGAGAAGGAUAACUUCUACUUGGUUUUCAGAACUUCUCCUGUGUCUGCUGUUUCUCAAAAAUAAUCAGCUCAAGAUAAUCUUUAUGCCAAAGAGGUGUAUUUGGGGUGGCAUAUUCUAUUAGCCUUCCCGUCUGCCCUCUUCUCUCCAUGCCCAUUGCCUCUGCCCUCUCUCAAGUGGACACUCAGAUCUGAAGUCUUCUGCUCUCUUGCUCCCCGCUCUCUCUCGCCUCUCAGCUCUCAGAUCUCAGUCAGAUCGCCUCACUCUCCUGCUUCAACUCUUAUUGGCUUCCCAGGAUACCUGGUGUAAUAUCCCAACUCCGUCCCCAUCCUCCAAGGCUCUGUGUCAUCUACUCUGCUUCUCUCCCCGUGGGAUCUACCCUCCCCACCUCCCCAGCCUCACUUCUAAUCUCUUUCCCCACCCAAUACGUGCUCCACUCAUGAGAGUCUCAGGCAGUUCUCAGAAUGGACCACAUUCUUUCUACCUCUGGUCCUUUGCACUUGCUGUUCCUUCUGCUUAGAAUUUGCUCUGCCUAUCCAAUGACUGCUCCUUCCUCUCCUACAGGUCUCAGUUUAAAUAUCAUCUCCUCACAAACACCUUCCCUGAUCAGCCUAGCUGAAGUUACACCUCAAUUUUAACUGUCACAGCAUUCUGUUUAUUUUCUUUAAAGCAAAACCAUGGGUUGUGAAUAGCUGAUUUAUUUAUUGGCAGCAUAACAUAAUAGUUAUGACUCUGAAGGCAGAUUUUCUGGAUUCAGAUUCUGGCUCUGCCACCCUCAAGCUGUGUGGCCUUGGAAAAGUUACUUAACCUCUCUGUGCCUCCAUUCCCUUAUCUCUAAAAUGUAAAAAAUGAUACUACCUGCUUCACAGAGUUGUUAGAGAAUUAAAAGACUCAAUAAACAUGAAGCACUUCAAAUAGUGAUUGUCUGCAAGAAGCAUAAAUAUGUCUAUUUGUUAAAUAACUAUAAAAAUAAAAUAUGAUGAUGUCAAGAAUCCUGUCUUUCUCUAUUUAGCACUAUCUCGCCAGAGCUUAGCCUCAUGCCUAGCACAAAGAAGAUAGUCCAUAAAUAGUCAUUAAAUACAUAAACGAAUAAAAGAAUGACCAAAUGACAUGACUGUCCUCCAAGUAUUUGUCGUAAAGCCCAACAGGUUGAAAACUUUAAUGUCCAAAGUAAUCACCUGGGGAUCUUGUUAAACUGUAGACUCUCACUCAGCUGGUCCGGGGAGAAGCUGGAGAGUCUGCAUUUCCAACAAGCGCCAGGUGUUGCUGAUGCUGCUGGUCCAUAGUCCACACUUUGACUAUCUAGCUGAUUGCCGACUGACCUAGAUCUAGAAAUCAGCUCCUGGAAAGUGUCUGCUGGAAACAGCCUUCCCAUUGCAACACAUUUAUCUCUUAUAGAUAGUCACUUCCUCAUAAGGCCAUCCCAGAGUUAGAACCUUUUGGAAGUAUUGAUGGGGUCUCAGUGGACACUGCCCAUGAUCUCACUCAGGUGGUGUCACCUGAGUCAAUAAUCAACCUACCGUUACUUCUGACCACCUGGGAAGUUCUGGAAAAGGCCUCCUUAUGUAUUUCCCCUUUAUCAUCAAUGGGCCAUCUAUAUAUUUCAUCUGAAAAGAAUCUGUUCUUUUUAGGGCUCUCUUUGGGGCCUUAAAAGGUGUAGUAAAUGUGUUUCCUUUACACCAGCAUUUUCAGUAAUUUAUUCCAGAUACUCGUCUUGUAUCAUUUAACUCUUAAAUGCUUUCAGAUUUCAAAUAUGCUUUGUAUCAGCGCAUACAAACUAUGCAUGUUGGCACUGGUAUUUUAAGAACAAGAAGGUUAAGGUUUCAAAAGCAACACCCUGAUUUCUUGGACAUGAUGAAAGUGUGAUUUUUUUUUUCCCAGGGCAGAGGGUGUGUGUGGCUGGAAUUACUCAGAACUGCUCACUGGUUGCCUCUCAAGGAUUGCUUAAAUUUAAAAUACUGCCGUUGCUUCUACUGGAGUGUGAGCUCCAGAAAGGAAGUCUUACUCCUUUCCAAACUCCCAGCUAAAAUAACCCCUGGGGCACUUUUGAAAGUAAGCAUAAUCUUCAUGUAACAAGACAUUUCCCAGUACCACAUCUGAAGUCUGAAACUUCAUUGUAUAUCUUCUUUAAACAAUCGCAGCCUGCAACGCCUAAUUAUCUGCUUCCAAAAGCAUUUGGUUAGGCACACAACACAUCUCAGUAAUGGAAAUGGACUCUACUCUCCCACAGCCAGUUCAUAAAAGCAAUGGAGUCGUUUAAAUAUCGUCGAUUCUCUCUCGGCAGUUCAGUCGAGUAAUGUAGCAGAACUGUCUGAUGGCCAAGGUAAUGAUCAGAAGGGAUAUAACAGAGAGAGACAUCUACUGGCUGAUAUCGUAGAAUUAGCUCAUUGAUUCAGUUGGAAGAGUUUGGCUUGAGGGUCUCAUGGUAGUUGUUUCACGUUCCAACGUCCCCUCCACAGCAGCCCUGCAGUGCAGGCCGUGAAGGAUCAUGGCGUAAUUGUCCAAAUCCUCUUUACCUGUUCCCUGGAAUCAUGACUCCAUUCAUCACUCUAGCAAAAUCUCGAUCUCUUGACCACAUGCACUCACAGCUUUUAUUACUGAGUACCAAUUAUUUUAGUAUUUGAGGAUGCCAACUACAGCUGAAAAAAAAAAAAAAUGAAGCUGUUAGAAUUCCCCACCUUAGAGAUCUUUAGAACUGACAACCACGUGUGCAGCUCAACUGAGCAAGAUGAUGGGAUUUCCAUUCUCAACUUCUGUAACACCACUGUGCACUUCUUAAAGUUUGAAAACUCCAGGAAGGGCUGUAGCAUCUACCACUCGCUGACAUGCCAUGGUCCUUAUUUCAUCCCAAACCAAUUCCCCUCCAAAGCACUAUGAUUCAUUAAUGUUCUUAUUGUUAUUGGUUAAUGUCCAUGUUAAUUAUUCAUAAUUCCCUAUCAAUAUUCAUAUCCCCAGAGAACUCACUUCUAUUCCUCCACACUAAUCUAGAACGGAAGGAGAGCGGCUAGAACGGAAGGACUAUACUGAAGCUCAAUGUCUGUCCUGUACAACAUCAUUAGGCAUAAAGGGAUAAACAGUGGCGCCCUCCCCCUCUGCUCCCGAGUCUCAGGGGCACGUGUUAAUAGGCAGAAUCCUGACAUCCAUCCUUUUCUAAGGCAGGCAAUCAGAUCACCCUCCAAGAGAGAAGUUAGGUUAUUUUUUUCAACAAACAUAUUUUAAAAUGGAGGUCACUGAUCUCAUGGGAGAAUGAGGACACAGCACACUCAGAGAGGCCCUGUUACGGCACCC
Long non-coding RNA from Equus caballus (horse), 6383 nucleotides. NCBI's taxonomy places the organism in Eukaryota, Metazoa, Chordata, Mammalia, Perissodactyla, Equidae. The record is from Ensembl.